GAUGAAGAACGUAGCGAAAUGCGAUACGUAAUGUGAAUUGCAGAAUUCAGUGAAUCAUCGAAUCUUUGAACGCAUAUUGCGCUCUCUGGUAUUCCGGAGAGCAUGCUUGUUUGAGUAUCAGUAAACACCUCAACUCCCCUUUCUUUUUUUGAAAUGGGAGCUGGACUUGAGUGAUCCCAACGCUUUUCUCACCGAAAAGUGGCGGGUUACUUGAAAUGCAGGUGCAGCUGGACUUUUCUCUGAGCUAAAAGCAUAUCUAUUUAGUCUGCCUAAAAAACAGAUUAUUACCUUUGUUGCAGCUAACAUAAAGGAGAUUAGUUCUUGUGCUGACUGAUGCAGGAUUCACAGAGACAGCUUCGGCUGGCCUUUGUAAACUCGAUCUCAAAUCAAGUAAGACUACCCGCUGAACUUAAGCAUAUCAAUAAGCGGAGGA
This 433-nucleotide unclassified non-coding RNA is filed under the name soil metagenome. RNAcentral's name for it is "partial contains 5.8S ribosomal RNA, internal transcribed spacer 2, and large subunit ribosomal RNA". The stretch from base 1 to 120 matches the Rfam family "5.8S ribosomal RNA", at positions 35 to 154 of the family's 154-position model. The record is from RNAcentral.